AUGAUCCUGCUCAUCAAGGUGGAUUUGAAGCUUCACACCCCCAUGUACUAUUUCCUCAGCCACCUGGCAUUCAUCGAUGUUUGUUAUUCAUCUUCCAUUGGGCCCAAGAUGCUGCAAAAUUUAUUGAGAAAAAAACCAUCUCCUUUUCAGGCUGCUUUGCCCAGCUGUACUUCACCAGUGCUUUUGCCACCACCGAAUGCUUCCUCUUGGCCACAAUGGCCUAUGACCGCUACUUGGCUAUCUGCAACCCCCUGAUCUACGCAGCCAUUAUGACUCAGCGGGUCUGCAAGGAGUUGGUGAUAGGGGUCUACACCUACGGCUUCCUAAACUCUGUAAUACAAACAGUUCUGACGUUCCAGUUGUCCUUCUGUGACUCCAACAUCAUUCACCACUUCUACUGUGCUGACCCCCCUCUCCUUGCCCUCUCCUGCUCUGACACUGGCAACAAAGAAAAGCAGCUCUUGAUCUUCUCAGCAGUGACUCUCACUGGAUCCCUCCUGACGGUCCUCAUCUCCUACAUGUGCAUCCUCUUUUCCAUUCUAAAAAUCCAGUCUUCCGAAGGCAAGUGCAAAGCCGUUUCCACCUGUGCCUCCCACCUCACCGUGGUCGUCAUCUUCUAUGGGACGCUCUUUUUCAUGCACCUGCAGCUACCUAAAGCAGGGGAUUCGUGGAAGUACAACAAAGUGGUCUCUGUGUUUUAUAGUCUUGUAAUUCCCCUGCUCAACCCCUUGAUCUAUACCCUGAGGAACACGGAAGUAAAGGACACCCUGAAAAAGAUGCUAGAGGGCAAAAAGCCAUAG
This is an RNA transcript of Odobenus rosmarus divergens (Pacific walrus), 800 nucleotides long. It is a transcript of the gene named olfactory receptor 1038-like, with no coding region annotated. The transcript has a single exon. Lineage: Eukaryota; Metazoa; Chordata; Mammalia; Carnivora; Odobenidae. The record is from RefSeq and is a predicted model, not a curated record.